RNAcentral lists this ribosomal RNA (406 nucleotides) under uncultured bacterium. RNAcentral describes it as "partial 16S ribosomal RNA". It matches the Rfam family "Bacterial small subunit ribosomal RNA", at positions 30 to 526 of the family's 1533-position model. The record is from RNAcentral.
AUUGAACGCUGGCGGCAGGCCUAACACAUGCAAGUCGAACGAGUGGCGGACGGGUGAGUCAUGUCUGGGAAACUGCCCGAUGGAGGGGGAUAACUACUGGACACGGUAGCUAAUACCGCAUACCAUCGGAUGUGCCCAGAUGGGAUUAGCUAGUAGGUGGGGUAAAGGCUCACCUAGGCGACGAUCCCUAGCUGGUCUGAGAGGAUGACCAGCCACACUGGAACUGAGACACGGUCCAGACUCCGACGUGAGGCAGCAGUGGGGAAUAUUGCACAAUGGGCGCAAGCCUGAUACAGCCAUGCCGCGUGUAUGAAGAAGGCCUUCGGGUUGUAAAGUACUUUCAGCGAGGAGGCGUUACCCGCAGAAGAAGCACCGGCUAACUCCGUGCCAGCAGCCGCGGUAAUUC